RNAcentral lists this unclassified non-coding RNA (217 nucleotides) under plant metagenome. RNAcentral describes it as "partial contains small subunit ribosomal RNA, internal transcribed spacer 1, and 5.8S ribosomal RNA". The record is from RNAcentral.
UCUCCGUAGGUGAACCUGCGGAGGGAUCAUUACAAGUGACCCCGGUCUUACCACCGGGAUGUUCAUAACCCUUUGUUGUCCGACUCUGCUGCCUCCGGGGCGACCCUGCCUCCGGGCGGGGGCUCCGGGUGGACACUUCAAACUCUUGCGUAACUUUGCAGUCUGAGUAAACUUAAUUAAUAAAUUAAAACUUUUAACAACGGAUCUCUUGGUUCUG